RNAcentral lists this ribosomal RNA (452 nucleotides) under uncultured bacterium. Its description in RNAcentral is "bacterial SSU rRNA". It matches the Rfam family "Bacterial small subunit ribosomal RNA", at positions 29 to 524 of the family's 1533-position model. The record is from RNAcentral.
AACGAACGCUGGCGGCAUGCCUAACACAUGCAAGUCGAACGAGACCUUCGGGUCUAGUGGCGCACGGGUGCGUAACGCGUGGGAAUCUGCCCUUGGGUUCGGAAUAACAGUUAGAAAUGACUGCUAAUACCGGAUAAUGUCUUCGGACCAAAGAUUUAUCGCCCAGGGAUGAGCCCCGCGUAGGAUUAGCUAGUUGGUGAGGUAAAGGCUCACCAAGGCGACGAUCCUUAGCUGGGUCUGAGAGGAUGAUCAGCCACACUGGGACUGAGACACGGCCCAGACUCCUACGGGAGGCAGCAGUGGGGAAUAUUGGACAAUGGGCGAAAGCCUGAUCCAGCAAUGCCGCGUGAGUGAUGAAGGCCUUAGGGUUGUAAAGCUCUUUUACCCGGGAUGAUAAUGACAGUACCGGGAGAAUAAGCCCCGGCUAACUCCGUGCCAGCAGCCGCGGUAAU